Molecule: long non-coding RNA, 1351 nt
Organism: Gouania willdenowi (blunt-snouted clingfish)
Lineage: Eukaryota; Metazoa; Chordata; Actinopteri; Blenniiformes; Gobiesocidae
Source: Ensembl
CCAGAUAAAAGCGGCUUCUUUCUUCAGUAGCUGUGAUUCUCUGCGUGUCUCUGAGCAAUUCUUCAUACUUCAGUGAUUUUCUGAGCAUCAGCAGAAGUCAGUGAAAGAGUUUUAAAGCUUUAUUAGAUUUUUAACUUCAAAAUAAGAAGAUUAAGGCGAACUAAGGACUAAAAAGGCUUUAACCAAUAUGAAGUCCUUUGCACAGAAAGUGGGACAGGCUCCUCCCACAUCCUCAUCAAAACAACAGGAUUUCUUUCAGCAUCUCAUCGAUGAAUUAAAUGAUCUGAAGGAUGUGAUCAAGAAACGAUCUGAAAUACACAAAGAACUAGAGGCUAAAGAAAGAAAGAAGAUCCAGGAAAUAAAGGAAACCUAUGAAGAUAAAUUAAAGGAGGCUCAGGACAAGUACAGCGGGUGCUCUGAUGAACUGCAGCUUUCUCAGGACCAGUGCAGAACCCUCUCCUCUGAGCUCAUGGAGAGCAAGAACCAGUCAGCCUUGCUCUCUGCAGAACUGGAGUUCUAUAAGAACCAAUCUAGUCUGUCCUCCUCAAACCACAUGGAGGCCAAUGAGCAGAAGACCACGUGUGACCAAAGCACAGACACGUGUGACCAGGUGUGGACAACACAACAGGUUGACAACAAUGUGUGUGUCUCACGAGAACCUGAUCAGCAGUUCAUACCAGUUCACCAAGGACCCACUACCAGUAUGGUGGACUACUCCCAUCUCCCUCAGCGGCUAGUACCAGCAUACAAAGACCCCGAUACUGGGAUGGUCCACUGUGGUGAGCCCAUUUACCCAGUUUACCCAGACCCCAAUACUGGUGUGGUCUACCACUACCAGCCCACACCAGAUGGACAGUUCGUUACUGUGAACCCAGAUUUCCAGUACCUGGUCUCUGAAUGCUUCCAACCCUCUUCAGAGAAUAUGGACCAGGACCAAGAACUCUCCAAGGAUCUGGGUCAGAGUACGGACCAGGACCAAGAACUCUCCAAGGAUCUGGGUCAGAGUACGGACCAGAACCAAGAACUCUCCAAGGAUCUGGGUCAGAGUACGGACCAGGACCAAGAACUCUCCAAGGAUCUGGGUCAGAGUACGGACCAGGACGAUAGGUCAUCUGUCAAAGAGGACAAGGAGCAGCUGGACAAUCUGUCCUCAGAGCAGAAGGACCAGAAGGAGAAUGAAGUCCAGGAGGAACCAAAGAAAGGAAAGCGCAGACGAAAGCGUAAACCUAGACAUUAGAAUAAGUCGUCACCUUUGGGUUCACUAUAGAUUGGACAGUAGACAAUAUCUUUCUUUCUUCUGCUGAACAAUUAUUUCAAAAUAAAAGGGUUCAUUUGAUUGAUCUCUACUAUU